This 467-nucleotide ribosomal RNA is filed under the name uncultured bacterium. RNAcentral's name for it is "bacterial SSU rRNA". It matches the Rfam family "Bacterial small subunit ribosomal RNA", at positions 26 to 507 of the family's 1533-position model. The record is from RNAcentral.
AGGACGAACGCUGGCGGCGUGCUUAACACAUGCAAGUCGAACGGAAAGGCCCAGCUUGCUGGGUACUCGAGUGGCGAACGGGUGAGUAACACGUGGGUGAUCUGCCCCAAACUUCGGGAUAAGCCUGGGAAACUGGGUCUAAUACCGGAUAUGACCUGCUCCUGCAUGGGGGUUGGUGGAAAGCUUUGCGGUUUGGGAUGGGCCCGCGGCCUAUCAGCUUGUUGGUGGGGUAAUGGCCUACCAAGGCGACGACGGGUAGCCGACCUGAGAGGGUGUUCGGCCACACUGGGACUGAGACACGGCCCAGACUCCUACGGGAGGCAGCAGUGGGGAAUAUUGCACAAUGGGCGCAAGCCUGAUGCAGCGACGCCGCGUGAGGGAUGACGGCCUUCGGGUUGUAAACCUCUUUCGCCAGGGACGAAGCGCAAGUGACGGUACCUGGAGAAGAAGCACCGGCCAACUACGUG